CCUAGGGUGGCAGCAGUGGGGAAUAUUGGACAAUGGGGGGAACCCUGAUCCAGCCAUGCCGCGUGUGUGAAGAAGGCCCUCGGGUUGUAAAGCACUUUCAGUGAGGAAGAACGCCUGGUGGUUAAUACCCAUCAGGAAAGACAUCACUCACAGAAGAAGCACCGGCUAACUCCGUGCCAGCAGCCGCGGUAAUACGGAGGGUGCGAGCGUUAAUCGGAAUUACUGUGCGUAAAGCGCGCGUAGGUGGCUUGAUAAGCCGGUUGUGAAAGCCCCGGGCUCAACCUGGGAACGGCAUCCGGAACUGUCAAGCUAGAGUGCAGGAGAGGAAGGUAGAAUUCCCGGUGUAGCGGUGAAAUGCGUAGAGAUCGGGAGGAAUACCAGUGGCGAAGGCGGCCUUCUGGACUGACACUGACACUGAGGUGCGAAAGCGUGGGUAGCAAACAGGAUUAGAUACCCGAGUAGUC
Molecule: ribosomal RNA, 464 nt
Filed under: Vreelandella stevensii
Lineage: Bacteria; Pseudomonadati; Pseudomonadota; Gammaproteobacteria; Oceanospirillales; Halomonadaceae
Description: partial 16S ribosomal RNA
Rfam family: Bacterial small subunit ribosomal RNA
Source: RNAcentral